RNAcentral lists this ribosomal RNA (497 nucleotides) under uncultured bacterium. RNAcentral's name for it is "partial 16S ribosomal RNA". It matches the Rfam family "Bacterial small subunit ribosomal RNA", at positions 28 to 507 of the family's 1533-position model. The record is from RNAcentral.
GAUGAACGCUGGCGGCGUGCCUAAUACAUGCGAGUCGAGCGAACAGACGAGGAGCUUGCUCCUCUGACGUUAGCGGCGGACGGGUGAGUAACACGUGGAUAACCUACCUAUAAGACUGGGAUAACUUCGGGAAACCGGAGCUAAUACCGGAUAAUAUAUUGAACCGCAUGGUUCAAUAGUGAAAGACGGUUUUGCUGUCACUUAUAGAUGGAUCCGCGCCGCAUUAGCUAGUUGGUAAGGUAACGGCUUACCAAGGCAACGAUGCGUAGCCGACCUGAGAGGGUGAUCGGCCACGCUGGAACUGAGACACGGUCCAGACUCCUACGGGAGGCAGCAGUAGGGAAUCUUCCGCAAUGGGCGAAAGCCUGACGGAGCAACGCCGCGUGAGUGAUGAAGGUCUUCGGAUCGUAAAACUCUGUUAUUAGGGAAGAACAAAUGUGUAAGUAACUAUGCACGUCUUGACGGUACCUAAUCAGAAAGCCACGGCUAACUACGUG